Molecule: non-coding RNA, 873 nt
Organism: Peromyscus maniculatus bairdii (prairie deer mouse)
Lineage: Eukaryota; Metazoa; Chordata; Mammalia; Rodentia; Cricetidae
Source: RefSeq, a predicted model, not a curated record
GAGACUUAGAACCUGCGUUAAGGUAUACAUCAUAACUCUCCAAACGGAAAUGAAGCUCCUUUAUGUCGAUGUAUUUCUGGCGAUAGAGGCACUGUUACAGACUUACUUACCCACUCUGCGGGACAGAUAAAAAUGUCUGCUAAAUCUCCAGCGAGAGUACUAGAGGAGAAAACAACUUGAACAGAAAUAAGUACCUGCUAACUUGCCAGACUUAACACACCACUAAGAUGCGGUAACACGGGAACUGGGAGUCCUGGAGUGCAAAGAACCAGCUUGUGGAGAAACCUGAUACGUCUUUGACUUCAACUGAAUCUUCGAAUGCUCGUGGGGGCAUCCUCGGUGCUACAACCUUACAAAUCCACUCAGGGAGUCCAUAAUAUCCAGAUCUGGGGCAAUAUCACAAAAGAAGAAAGUUGUCCUGUGCUUCUCUCCAAAAUACUGCCACAGUCAUUUGCCUGGGCUUUAAGAAAAGCCUGUGUGAAUUUGUAAGUUUUUGGAUUUACAGUCAAGUUAUGAAGAUGGUACAAAGAGCUCCUGCGUACUUGUCAGCCUGGAUUAAUUGCCUCAGCCUUACUCCUGACACACACAGCCUUUCAUGGACCCUGGUGAAUUUGUCCAAACCGAGGAGACAACACUGGGAGAGAUGAGCUGAACUCCAGAGCAGGGAUUUCCCAGCUCUAAUGUCCCUCUGCUGUUUCGGUCUAACCCAGGAGACCACAUCCCCUUUAGCUGAGAUCCAUUGUCUGCCUUCCUCUGCUCUACAACAGCAUCUCAUUCCUUUUGUUUUCCAGGACCUCGAGGCUUUAAGGAGUGUGAAGUCUCAGGCAAUGCACUGUCCUUUAAAUUUUUUUUUAUGCUAUUCUUCGGAGCUUU